CACAGUGUAGCAAUACAUGGGUGGCGACCGGCAAACGGGUGCGGAACACGUACGCAACCUUCCUUCAGGCGGGGAAUAGCCCAGAGAAAUUUGGAUUAAUACCCCAUAAUAUUUUGAGAUGGCAUCAUCUUAUUAUUAAAGCUACGGCACCUGGAGAUGGGCGUGCGGCUGAUUAGGUAGUUGGCGGGGUAAUGGCCCACCAAGCCUACGAUCAGUAGCUGAUGUGAGAGCAUGAUCAGCCACACGGGCACUGAGACACGGGCCCGACUCCUACGGGAGGCAGCAGUAAGGAAUAUUGGUCAAUGGACGCAAGUCUGAACCAGCCAUGCCGCGUGGAGGAUGAAGGUCCUCUGGAUUGUAAACUUCUUUUAUCUGGGACGAAAAAAGGGUUUUCUAACUCGUCUGACGGUACCAGAUGAAUAAGCACCGGCUAACUCCGUGCCAGCAGCCGCGGUAAUACGGAGGGUGCAAGCGUUAUCCGGAUUCACUGGGUUUAAAGGGUGCGUAGGCGGGCAUUUAAGUCAGUGGUGAAAUACCUGAGCUUAACUUGGGAACUGCCAUUGAUACUAUUUGUCUUGAAUGUCGUGGAGGUUAGCGGAAUAUGUCAUGUAGCGGUGAAAUGCUUAGAUAUGACAUAGAACACCUAUUGCGAAGGCAGCUAACUACGCGAAUAUUGACGCUGAGGCACGAAAGCGUGGGGAUCAAACAGGAUUAGAUACCCUGGUAGUCCACGCCCUAAACGAUGAUUACUCGACAUUAGCGAUAUACUGUUAGUGUCUGAGCG
RNAcentral lists this ribosomal RNA (784 nucleotides) under uncultured bacterium. Its description in RNAcentral is "SSU rRNA". It matches the Rfam family "Bacterial small subunit ribosomal RNA", at positions 70 to 853 of the family's 1533-position model. The record is from RNAcentral.